RNAcentral lists this ribosomal RNA (433 nucleotides) under uncultured bacterium. Its description in RNAcentral is "bacterial SSU rRNA". It matches the Rfam family "Bacterial small subunit ribosomal RNA", at positions 29 to 506 of the family's 1533-position model. The record is from RNAcentral.
ACGAACGCUGGCGGCAGGCCUAACACAUGCAAGUCGAGCGCGUGUAGCAAUACACGAGCGGCGCACGGGUGAGUAACGCGUGGGAAUGUGCCCUUGGGUGCGGAACAACGUCGGGAAACUGACGCUAAUACCGCAUAAUAUCUACGGAUCAAAGAUUUAUCGCCCAAGGAUCAGCCCGCGUUGGAUUAGGUAGUUGGUGGGGUAAUGGCUCACCAAGCCUACGAUCCAUAGCUGGUCUUAGAGGAUGAUCAGCCACACUGGAACUGAGACACGGUCCAGACUCCUACGGGAGGCAGCAGUGAGGAAUCUUGGACAAUGGGGGAAACCCUGAUCCAGCCAUGCCGCGUGAGUGAUGAAGGCCUUCGGGUUGUAAAGCUCUUUCAGAUGUGAAGAUGAUGACGGUAGCAUCAGAAGAAGCUCCGGCUAACUCCGU